CUCUAUUUUAUAGUAACCAUAUUAAGGCUAUAUGAAGGGUGCUUUUCUUCCAUCGCGGGCCUCUUUAUGGUAUAAAAGUGCGGCAAAAUACACACACUUAUCGGCACAUGAUCCCGGGUGCCCUGUUUCGACGGGUCGGGUCAUGGGGUAGGUGGAGGUUUAACC
This 165-nucleotide unclassified non-coding RNA is filed under the name Coxiella burnetii RSA 331. Its description in RNAcentral is "t44 RNA". The stretch from base 73 to 164 matches the Rfam family "t44 RNA". Rfam says of the family: This family consists of a number of bacterial RNA genes of between 135 and 170 bases in length. The record is from RNAcentral. Lineage: Bacteria; Pseudomonadati; Pseudomonadota; Gammaproteobacteria; Legionellales; Coxiellaceae.